GAUGAACGCUAGCGAUAGGCCUAACACAUGCAAGUCGAGGGGCAUCACAUGAAGUAGCAAUACGGAUGGUGGCGACCGGCGCACGGGUGAGUAACACGUAUGCAACCUGCCUUCAACAAGGGGAUAACCCGUUGAAAGACGGACUAAUACCCUAUAACACAGGGGUCCCGCAUGGGAAUAUUUGUUAAAGGACAACCGGUUGAAGAUGGGCAUGCGUUCCAUUAGCUAGUUGGCGGGGUAACGGCCCACCAAGGCAACGAUGGAUAGGGGAACUGAGAGGUUUAUCCCCCACACUGGUACUGAGACACGGACCAGACUCCUACGGGAGGCAGCAGUGAGGAAUAUUGGUCAAUGGACGCAAGUCUGAACCAGCCACGUCGCGUGAAGGAAGACGGCCCUACGGGUUGUAAACUCCUUUUAUACGGGAAUAAAGUGCCCCACGCGUGGGGUUUUGCAUGUACCGUAUGAAUAAGGAUCGGCUAACUCCGUGCCAGCAGCCGCGGUAAUU
This 508-nucleotide ribosomal RNA is filed under the name uncultured bacterium. RNAcentral's name for it is "bacterial SSU rRNA". It matches the Rfam family "Bacterial small subunit ribosomal RNA", at positions 28 to 525 of the family's 1533-position model. The record is from RNAcentral.